RNAcentral lists this ribosomal RNA (791 nucleotides) under Cyrtogenius africus. RNAcentral describes it as "eukaryotic LSU rRNA". It matches the Rfam family "Eukaryotic large subunit ribosomal RNA", at positions 406 to 944 of the family's 3401-position model. Lineage: Eukaryota; Metazoa; Arthropoda; Insecta; Coleoptera; Curculionidae. The record is from RNAcentral.
CGUUUAGGNNUAAACCUGAGAAACCCGAAAGGUCGAAGGGAGAAAUUCAUUCGCGUUUCGCGGUAGGCGUCGUUCGUUCGUGCGACGGAUUAACGUUCGCGUUCUUCCGCGCCUUACGUUCGUCGAACCGAUCGCGAACGCGUGCACUUUUCUCCUGGUAGGACGUCGCGAUCCGUCGGGUGUCGGUCUACGGCUCGCGGUGGAGCCCGUUCGUCGUUUUUACGAACGUACGAACGGACCCGCGUGUUACCUGGCCGACUCGCUCGACGGUAAAUUAACGGUCGAGGGCCGCUCGUUUAUAGGAGCGUUCGACUCGUGGCAAGCGCGUCAGACGCGUCGGAACGCGGACCUAGUGCCGCGCCCGAUCUCUGGCGACUGUUGGCCGCGACGUUCUCGAACAGACCCCCCCGUGUUUAGACCGAUCGGCGACGCUAUAGCUUUGGGUAAUUUCAGGACCCGUCUUGAAACACGGACCAAGGAGUCUAGCAUGUACGCGAGUCAUUGGGAAUCACUAAACCUAAAGGCGUAAUGAAAGUAAAGGUCUUCCUAGCGGAGACCGAGGGAAGACGUGCGGUACGCCCUUAAAAGCGUCCGUUCAGCAUUCCCGGGGCGUCUCGCUCUCAUCGCGAGAAGAGGCGCACCAAGAGCGUACACGCUGGGACCCGAAAGAUGGUGAACUAUGCCUGGUCAGGACGAAGUCAGGGGAAACCCUGAUGGAGGUCCGUAGCGAUUCUGACGUGCAAAUCGAUCGUCGGAACUGGGUAUAGGGGCGAAAGACUAAUCGAACCAUC